This 252-nucleotide ribosomal RNA is filed under the name uncultured bacterium. RNAcentral's name for it is "partial 16S ribosomal RNA". It matches the Rfam family "Bacterial small subunit ribosomal RNA", at positions 524 to 774 of the family's 1533-position model. The record is from RNAcentral.
UACGUAGGGUGCGAGCGUUAAUCGGAAUUACUGGGCGUAAAGCGUGCGCAGGCGGUUUUGUAAGCCAGGUGUGAAAUCCCCGGGCUCAACCUGGGAAUGGCAUUUGGGACUGCAAGGCUGGAGUGUGGCAGAGGAGACUGGAAUUCCUGGUGUAGCAGUGAAAUGCGUAGAUAUCGGGAGGAACACCAGUGGCGAAGGCGGUAGCUGGCCGUGUUAACUGACACUGAGCGCGAAGGCUAGGGGAGGCGAACG